RNAcentral lists this ribosomal RNA (373 nucleotides) under uncultured organism. RNAcentral's name for it is "partial 16S ribosomal RNA". It matches the Rfam family "Bacterial small subunit ribosomal RNA", at positions 527 to 896 of the family's 1533-position model. The record is from RNAcentral.
GUAGGGAGCAAGCGUUGUUCGGGAAUUAUUGGGGCGUAAAGAGCGCGUAGGCGGCCAGGUAAGUCUGAUGUGAAAUCCCACAGCUCAACUGUGGAACUGCAUUGGAAACUGCUUGGCUAGAGUGCGGGAGAGGAGAGUGGAAUUCCCAGUGUAGAGGUGAAAUUCGUAGAUAUUGGGAGGAACACCAGUGGCGAAGGCGGCUCUCUGGACCGCAACUGACGCUGAGGCGCGAAAGCUAGGGGAGCGAACGGGAUUAGAUACCCCGGUAGUCCUAGCCGUAAACGAUGGGCACUAGGUGUAGGAGGUAUCGACCCCUUCUGUGCCGUAGCUAACGCAUUAAGUGCCCCGCCUGGGGAGUACGGUCGCAAGACUA